CUCGAAAUCCCCCGCAGGGAUUCCCCGUCUCUGACCAUGGCCCAGGCGAGGUGGGCAGAAAGUGAAAGUGAAACGUGCUCCGUGGGUCCAACUGGGUCGACAGGAGUAUUUCAGCGGCGAGGGGAAAGCACCGCGAGUCUCUUUGGACUUUUUACUACGAUUUCCCCUCUCGGCGUCACAGGCGCGAGGACACUAAACCACCGUGACUGUAACAUCAAGCCGCUUCUCUGCCGCUCAAGACGACGCGUUAACGGCGAGCUGUCGUUGAACAAGACGGUUACCUCAAGCAGGCUGAAGAAGCCCAUUCACAGGAGAAGAUGGCUGGAGGAGAGGGGAGGGCCGGCGUGCCAGGCAUUCCACAGCAGCACACAGUGGACACAUUAUUAUGACAUUUACAAGGCCAGCUCGACGGAUGCAGCGUGAUCCGUGUGUGUGUGUGUGUGUGUGUGUGUGUGUGUGUGUGUGUGUGUAAGGAAGGGAGGUCGGCUCCCAGUGAUGGAGCCUCGGAGCGGGACGAGGCACAGAAACACAAAUCCAGUGCUGCAAACUCACGACUGCCCUUGAUACAUCGCUGGCGUGCUGCUGCUUUUUUUAAAUGACGACACUUCAUAAUGCAAAGGGAGGGAAACAGAUGCACACCUUUCGCCCCGUUCAGGAAUAUUUGGCGGGAUAAUCGCUCCCGUGUCGAGAGUGAGGUGUCUGCAGGAAUAGCAACCAGCAAAACAAGAAAUCUGAAUUAUUCCUUUAGAGUUUGAAGGUUUAACAUGAUAUUUGAGGCCAUUUAUUGCACAAACGGCCCUUUGACUGACUCCUCCGGUGAGGCCGUAUUUACAAUAUGCUAUUCACCAUAUUGCACGAACGCUUGCAUGGGAAGCGCUCCGAUCAACCUGACAACGAAUGCAUCGUUUC
Long non-coding RNA from Gasterosteus aculeatus aculeatus (three-spined stickleback), 909 nucleotides. The record is from Ensembl. Lineage: Eukaryota; Metazoa; Chordata; Actinopteri; Perciformes; Gasterosteidae.